This 23-nucleotide non-coding RNA is filed under the name Rattus norvegicus (Norway rat). Lineage: Eukaryota; Metazoa; Chordata; Mammalia; Rodentia; Muridae. The record is from RNAcentral.
CAGAAAGGAUGUGCAGAGGCCAU